CCGAGGCGAAAGCGCUCGCUGGAUCGCAACUGACGCUGAGAGACGAAAGCUAGGGGAGCAAACAGGAUUAGAUACCCUGGUAGUCCUAGCCCUAAACGAUCAUGACUGGGCGUGGGCCCUGUACGGGGCUCGUGCCGGAGCUAACGCGUUAAGUCAUGCGCCUGGGGAGUACGUUCGCAAGGCUGAAACUCAAAGGAAUUGACGGGGGCCCGCACAAGCGGUGAAACAUGUGUUUCAAUUCGACGCAACGCGAAGAACCUUACUUGGGCUUGAACCGCACAGGACCAGCUUGAGAAAUCAGGCCUUCCCGCAAGGGACCUGUGUAGAGGUGCUGCAUGGCUGUCGUCAGCUCGUGCCGUGAGGUGUUGGGUUAAGUCCCGCAACGAGCGCAACCCUUACUCGUAGUUGCCACCCGCAAGGGGGAACUCUACGAGGACUGCUCCGGAUAACGGAGAGGAAGGUGGGGAUGAGGUCAAGUCAGCAUGGCCUUUAUGUCCAGGGCUACACACGUGUUACAAUGCGCGCCACAAAGCGUCGCGAACCCGCGAGGGGGAGCUAAUCGCAAAAAAGCGCGCUCAGUUCGGAUUGCAGUCUGCAACUCGACUGCAUGAAGCUGGAAUCGCUAGUAAUGGCGCAUCAGAUCGGCGCCGUGAAUACGUUCCCGGGCCUUGUACACACCGCCCGUCACAUCACGAAAGUGGGCUGUACUAGAAGUCGUCGCGCUAACCGCAAGGAAGCAGACGCCCAAG
This 749-nucleotide ribosomal RNA is filed under the name uncultured bacterium. RNAcentral describes it as "bacterial SSU rRNA". It matches the Rfam family "Bacterial small subunit ribosomal RNA", at positions 708 to 1461 of the family's 1533-position model. The record is from RNAcentral.